AAUGAUUUAUAAACAUAUCAUAAAUAAGAUCAACAUUAAUAUAAAUAAAUGGUUUUUUACGGGACGGGUUUGGCGGGAUGGGUUUGGCAGGACGAUACUUAAUAACAAUUGUAAACUAUAAAAUAAAAAUAUAUUAUAGAUAGAUACAAUUUGCAAAAAAAAA
This 163-nucleotide small RNA is filed under the name Arabidopsis thaliana (thale cress). RNAcentral's name for it is "ATSL153080". Lineage: Eukaryota; Viridiplantae; Streptophyta; Magnoliopsida; Brassicales; Brassicaceae. The record is from RNAcentral.